UCUUUGUACCAAUUAUGAAUUGAUACUGGUUUUGGAACUUUAUCUUCCUUUUAAUCUGAGUAACAAUUUGGACAAGCUAGUCAAAGCAUAAUUUUAUACAUAACUUAUAUUUUUAUAAUUUUAAUUCUGUAUAGUUUCCUUUGAAUAAAUACUGAGAAGCAGUCAGAUUUCACUUAAGUCACUGGAGUUCAGGAUUCCUUCAGAUUUUUAUUCCAGAUAACCUCCCCCCUCAACAAAACCCAAGCAAAUAAUCCUCUGUAGAAGUUGCAGACAGUGUUCUCAUUGAUCAGAUCUGAAAGCACAAUCUAGGAUUUGCUUUCAUCUUGCUCUGUAGUUAAGAAGUGUUCACUACUCCUGAUGCUUUUAUUCUUCAUAGGUGGUUUUAUUCUCCCUUUUUCUCUUUCUCUUCUGUUUCACACUGCUUGUGAAACUCUAUAAAUUGUGUGUAUGAAGUGAGCAGGGGUUUAAAAAAUGCAGCCAAAAUCAGGCAACAACAAUGAAAAACUCCCCAAAACAACACACCAAAACAAAACAAGAAAAAACAACACAGGAAACAAGGAAACCUUUUGAAUGAAUGACAGGGAAACUGGAGGGAACCUGUUAAAGUGGAUUUGUGACUGAAAGAAUAGCAGCCUGGAAUUAGGGUCUGAAAAUUAAGUCAGCAAUCAAAUUUCUCUGGUUGAGAACUCUGCCAUUCUGGGACUUACAGCACUAGUAAAAAUAGUAAACAGCUGUAUUUCUCUUGAGUAUGUGGCCUUAUAUGCAUGUGUACUUUUUGAAAACUUGUUUGACAAACUCAGGUAUUGGUUAAAUGCUCAACCCUUGCAAGAACACCACCCAUAUCUUAAAUUUAUAGAUUGGUAUUUAUGUCUUUAUAAAUCUUAAGAGUUUGGCUAAUUGUUAACAACAAUUCAUUAUAACUUCGGUAUAACUGUAUCCACAUAACUAUGGAUAUAAAAGGUAAGUUUAAACAGUAAAAAUGACAGUACUAAUCUGUCUUGAAUUAAAACUCUUUUCCUUGUAUUUCUGUUUGUCAUACUGACAUACAAUGAAAAUGUACAAUGCUUAUAUGUAAACUUGAGCAACGUUUUGCCUGGCUACUUCAGUGAGGCUGUAGAUACUGGAUUCGUCUUACCUUCUCUAUGCAAGAUACCCAUUGGUGUCUUAAUCUGGAUUGAUUAAAUUUAACGAAGGACAGAUUAUCCUUGAGUGGAUGAUAGACUACCCAUUUACUCAUUUGCAUGGCAACACCUCUGUUGCUUUGUUCAUUUCUUUUUUCAUAGGGGGACAUUUCAUUGCUAAGCAACAAAUGAGAACUACUGCUGCUUUCUCCCUAAUCAUCUCUUAAGUAGAGUAGAAGCCUACUCCUGAGAGUACUCGCAGUUUCUGCCUUUUACUCCCUCAUUUGACAGAUAAUGAAAAUGUUCUUAAUGAUCCUAGAACAGUAGGGUUUCUAGUAGACUUCAGGGUUGUUAAUUGAAAUAAGAAGUUCAAAUGAGAUGUGAUUAGAGAAUUGAUAUUCCAUGUUAAAUAGACCAUUUAAUUAAUAUGGUAAAUAAGUUUGCCUUUACCACCAACUUACAUUUGGAGACCCUGCUGAUUUUAAUGUAUUUGCCAGUUUGUCAGUAUUUUCAUGUCAGAAAGCAUAACUGUUCCAGAAGUGUCCACCGAGGAAUGACAACACUCAAAACCUAACAACCGUAAAAGAUAUUUUGCCACUGAAAAUGUAUGAAACUCAGAAAACUGCAUUGUAAAAGCUUAUUUAAAAGUUGAUUUCUAUAUAAUAAGAAAAAUACUGAAAUUAGGGUAUUUUCUUCAAUAUAUUAGUGGUCCUGGCUUAGUGCUAGUAGCAGUUACUUCCCCCAGUGACAUAAAACUUUCUAAGAUAUGUCUUUAAAUAGCUUUUUGAUUUGAGUCUUUGUAGUUAUGCUGAGUGAUGCCUUCAGGUUAAAAUGAAUAAGAAUGUGUAUGACACACUUGAAAUGGGGACAUUAAAUUUGCAAAGUACCUAAAAAAUCUUGAGAUUUGUAGUAAAAUUAUAGACUGAUUCAAAACUCAUACUAUGAAUUGUGCUUAAAUAAUAUAUAUACAAAUAAAUGCAGAGAAGCAGAGGUUUCCUAGCAGAAAUGUUGAAGCUACUAGUGUAUUUAAUAUUUACUCUAGUGAUACUCUGUAUUUACCUCAGAUUUUAUUCUGGAUUUUUUUUCUUACUCUGUUUUUAAGUCAAUAUUGGUUUGUACCUUAAGGUGCUUUAUUUAUUGUUUCAACUGUUGAUUUUUGUGUAUUUUUUUCAGUUUAACUGGAGCAUUUGUGUUGCAGCUCUGAGUCACUUGGGUCAUAAUUCAUGCCAUUGAAAGUUAUGAUAAUGCCUUUUAAUUUAGUUUCUUUCUAUAAUUAAGAGAAAGAGGUCCUAAAGGAUUAUUAAAGAUUAAUAAGUUCUUAUUAACAACACCAUUAUAAUAAACCUGUGCUGAUUAGAUCAUCUGAUAGUAAAUCCUGAUAACAUUUACACACAAUUGCAGUUUUGUCAAAUAUUUUAGUGGGAGGAAAGCCAUGUUUAUUUUAGCUUUAUGACAACUGAGAGAGCCCUAAAUCCUUAACUUUGCAUGACAAGUACGUGACAUAUUUAUUCUAGUGAUGGGAGUCUUUCUGGUCUGCUAAAGACAUCCAGAAACGAUUUGGAAAAGUGCUGUUAAAGAACUUUUGAAUAUAGAAAUGGCGUGUAUGGAAGUGAUAAUUUACUUGCCUUUUCAUUCAGAUGUGAAUGUCACAAAGUAGGUUUGUGGGUUUGUUUAUAAGGACUGAGAUCACAGAUGUUUUGAUGAAUUAGCGUGGAUUGGGAUACCUAAUUUUAGCACAUAGGUUCCCACAUUUAGAAUAGGUUAAGUGACUGAAGGUAGGAAUUGAAUAUGUUAAAUGUUGAGAGCAUUCUUUCAACCUUUCCAGUAGUGUAAGAAUGAUGAAAGUGUAAUUUGGGAAUGUCUCAUUAGUUCCCUACUUUGCGAUGAAAGUGAAAUACUGUAAUAUUUUCAGCAAGAUAGAACUUGGUUGUCAAAGCAAGCCAGGAGAGGCACAACUGCAAUUAAAGAAAAUCUGAGGAGCUGAUAACCAGCCUUGCUGGAAUAUAGUAGAUUCAGAUUCAGAUUUCUGGUCUAAAUGAGGAGAAGGAGGAAUUCGAACCUUUCCACCAUAACAUAACAGCUUCCUUGGAAUUUCGAAGUUAGUUGUAUGGGAAUACUAUUUUGUGCUUACUUGUAAUCUCUUACAUGAUGUAGCAGUGUUACAACUUAUGUUGUCAGAAGGAAUGCUGAUUACUGUGAGGGCAGUUUUCCUGAAAGCUCUGUGACUUUGUAGCAUAUUAGUUUGUGUCAAAAGUAAUCUUGUCCAUAUGGAUGCAAUUCCAGAGAUGGUUUUGUUAAUGAGGUAAGAUAUACCAUGUGACUCCUCAGUGUUUGACUAAAUGUAGACAAGGAAAUUUUGCACUGGCUUGCAAGUCCUAUUUCAAGUUGUACAUGUAUUGCUCUCUGUACACCAUCCUGUUGCCCUGAGUUCCUGUUGAUCUAGAUUGUUUCCAGUCAUUAAGUUGUGCUGCACAGUUUCUUGAGGCUUCUUGCUCAUGGAAUCAGCUACACUUCACUACAUUUGACAUUUCAGUAAUACAUCUGCAUUUCAUUAACUCACUGGGCCUUGUGUGUACAUCUAGAACCACAGAGAGGACCUGGAUUUAUUCACCAUCCAAGGAGAUGAGAGCUCAGGACAAACACCAUCAUAAUAAGGAUGCAUGCCAGGCCAUUGCUAAGUGGAAAGGCUGUGUGAAAUCACUUUGAGACCCCUAGUAGUGUUGGGUCAAGAGAAAAUUAGCAGUUAGUAGGAAAUUAGUGCCAGAAAACAAAUACUAUUGUUAGCUUUCCAUCAUUUUAUGUUGGAUAACGAAUGUGAAGGAACAUGAGGCUGCUGAAGACUGGAAUGGUGAUUCAGAUACCAUCUGCAAUCUCCUUGCAAUGGAGGAGCUGACGACAAUUUGAGGAUGUCUACAAGAAUCAUGAACUGAAAACUUUGGAAAGGAAGGUCUUACUCUUGCUCUUCAAGUAGUUAGAGACUGAUAGAAUCAUCCUUGCUGUCUUCUGGCUUACCAUGAAAGAAAUACUGGAAAACCUCCCAGGAUGGAGUGUUCAAGAAUAUGAGGGGUUUUUGCAGUUUGAAAGCUGAAAAGAUGUCUUUAUUUGCUACCUUUGUAUGCUCUUGAGCUGUUCUGAUAACUUUGGCAUUACACUUUGUAAUAAACUUCUACCAUUUUACUUUUCUUUGUUUAAAUAAAUGCAUUUUUUGAGGAA
This is a long non-coding RNA of Melopsittacus undulatus (budgerigar), 4334 nucleotides long. RefSeq lists it as uncharacterized. The record is from RefSeq and is a predicted model, not a curated record. The transcript has 2 exons. NCBI's taxonomy places the organism in Eukaryota, Metazoa, Chordata, Aves, Psittaciformes, Psittaculidae.